Molecule: transfer RNA, 87 nt
Filed under: Lwoffella lincolnii
Lineage: Bacteria; Pseudomonadati; Pseudomonadota; Gammaproteobacteria; Moraxellales; Moraxellaceae
Description: Moraxella lincolnii tRNA-Leu
Rfam family: tRNA
About the family: Transfer RNA (tRNA) molecules are approximately 80 nucleotides in length. Their secondary structure includes four short double-helical elements and three loops (D, anti-codon, and T loops).
Source: RNAcentral
GCCCGGGUGGUGAAAUUGGUAGACACAAGGGAUUUAAAAUCCCUCGAUAGCAAUAUCGUGCCGGUUCAAGUCCGGCUCCGGGUACCA